RNAcentral lists this long non-coding RNA (1116 nucleotides) under Phascolarctos cinereus (koala). RNAcentral's name for it is "lncRNA (ENSPCIG00000033352.1)". Lineage: Eukaryota; Metazoa; Chordata; Mammalia; Diprotodontia; Phascolarctidae. The record is from RNAcentral.
ACAGCCUGGAACAGAUGGGGGGGAGACGAGCGCAGGCCUAAAGGCGUCACGUGAGCCGUCCACCCACGCCUUUUAAAGAGACCGUGAUGGAGAGGGCCACAAUACUUUGUUUUCAAGGGUGUGGCAGGUGUCGCAUUAAGAUUUACUUGGGAGUCGAGUGAGCUUUGUGGGGGAGUUGGAAUAGUUGAGAAACUCUCAAUCUAGUCGCGGAGGAAGAAUUCCGACACUCACACGCCUCCGCCUCCACACACCCCCCCACACGUGAUAGCGCUCCCGCCCGUCUAGCUAAUAGAGCCGGAGGGAUCGAUGAUUCGGUCAACGGCUGCUUAGUCUUGCUGCUUAAGCGCGCGGACCGUCCGCUCAUGCGCGUUCCCACCCCGCCCCCUGCCCUUUCGCGCAUGCGCGGAGGCGAGGGCAGUUGUUUGUUCGUUUUGUUCCGUUCGUCCGUCCGUUCGUUCGUUCGUUCGUGUAGCGCGCGGCCGCGGACGGGGCCGGAGGCCAGAGCGGAGGUGCAACUCACAAAGACUAAGGCUUGGAAGAAUUUCAGUAUGGCUUAAGGAUCCUUGCAGUAAACACAUAUUUACCAGUCUUCCUGCAGUCUCAAGCAGAUGUCAGCCCGGCCAGAAUCCUGGAAUCAUCUUUCUGAGAGCCAGAAUGGGAAGAGAAGGCAGUCUCCGAGAUGUGGCUGCUAUAGAGAAAAACAUCUUGAACAUAUGUCAUUGGUAGUUAUAUGUGAAAGUACAGCAAAUGAAGUGUAAUUAUGAUGAUUGGUACAUAGUCCUUUGAAGGAAAGGAGAAAAAAAGCAACUAAAAUUCAAGCUUGAAUUUCUUUCAUAAAUUCAUAAACUGUCCAAGACAGUCAUGAUUAUUGCCUUUGUCUGUUACAAGAGUACCCUCACAAAGACCAGCCAUAGUAUGCAUCACCCCUGGAGAUUGUGUGUCACAGUCUUGGAGGAUCCACAAGCAAGUUCAGUAAUCAGUUUCAGGAUAAAAGGUUCCUGUAACCAUAGUGACCUUUGAAGAAAGAUGCUCAUUCCUUACAGGAAAGUGUCAUCACAGACAGGAUUCAGGAAUCCUGCACAGGUGUAAAGCAAGGCUAUCCAACAUAGUUAUGGA